AGUAACCUGAACCAGAGUAAAAACAAGACUACCAUGUCCAGCCAGCAGAAUGCUAUAAUAUGCUAUGAUGACUGGAAUCCUUGUUAACCAAUUCCAGCACCCACCUGUCACCUCUCCCUUGAGACCAGCAUGAAGGUCGAAGUUCACACCACCUCUGCAGACUCAUUUCAUCCCUCACCUGUCCAUGGUCACCUGUGUGAUUGCCCGGGCCAGAAACAAAUACCCAAAUGCAGCAUUUGAGAGAUUUCUACUUGUCUGUUGCCUCCUCGAGAACAGCACGUAACUGCAAUGCAGCCUGUACAGGAGGACAGAGGGAAGGAAAAGCCAGAGCCAGGUCUUGAGCUGAGGAGGGCAGAGUCUUGUGGACGGCCCUCAGGACUGGGUGAUGCUGUGAGGGAGCAUGAACCCCGUGUCCCCAACGGUUCUGAGCGCUACUCGGCCGUUGAGUCGGAUCACCAGGUGGGUGAUGCUGCCAUUGUUGAGGGAGCAAUGGAGCCAGCCUUCGGGAGGAAACUGCA
This 518-nucleotide long non-coding RNA is filed under the name Pongo abelii (Sumatran orangutan). Its description in RNAcentral is "lincRNA". Lineage: Eukaryota; Metazoa; Chordata; Mammalia; Primates; Hominidae. The record is from RNAcentral.